GGUGGAGUUAGUGGAACCGAAAAAGAUGUCUCCCUCACAGUGUUUGUGACAAAAGAAUUGCAUCGUUCCUUGGCGGCCUUUCAACAGAAGAAUAUUCAGAGAUUUCACGAGUGAUUCUGAUGUUGGUUCCUGGAAAGCCUCCAUUGUUGGAGGACGAGAAGCCGUAUCCAAUUGAAGCAGCACAGGCUUCUGCGAUGACUGUGGAAACCACUGCUUAUGCCUUGCUUCAAGCGUUGUCAAGGAAUGAUAUUGACUAUGCAACACCGAUUGCGAGGUGGCUAACGAUGCAACAGAACUAUGGUGGUGGAUUUCACUCGACGCAGGACACAAUCAUUGCCUUGGAAGCUUCAUCAUGAUAUGACAUUGCAUUUCUGAAGAGGGAAGAAGAAAUCAACAUGCAAAUUCAAUUCCAUGGUUUUGGAAGUCCCAUUGAGAACACGAUUCAUGUGCGCUGGCAUAAUGCUCUGACCGAGAAAGAAUCGAAGCUUCCGCUUGGAAGAAAGAUUCACAUCAAGUUGACUGGUCAAGUAAAUGGGACACUGACUAACCAUACAAUUAGACUGUUUUGAUGAGGAACUUCAAGAUUACGAGUCCCGUCCGUUUGACUCAGAGUUUGGUACCAUAGGUUGGUACGAUCUUCGUUGGAGAAGGAAAAGGGAUGUUCCAGAUACAGAAAAUAGUCAAACCAUUUACUACAAAGUCCGUUUCUGGGUGGAGUUAGUGGAACCGAAAAAGAUGUCUCCCUCACAGCGUUUGUGACAAGAGAAUUGCAUUGUUCCUUGGCGGCCUUUCAACAGAAGAAUAUUCAGAGAUUUCACGAGUGAUUCUGAUGUUGGUUCCUGGAAAGCCUCCAUUGUUGGAGGACGAGAAGCCGUAUCCAAUUGAAGCAGCACAGGCUUCUGCGAUGACUGUGGAAACCACUGCUUAUGCCUUGCUUCAAGCGUUGUCAAGGAAUGAUAUUGACUAUGCAACACCGAUUGCGAGGUGGCUAACGAUGCAACAGAACUAUGGUGGUGGAUUUCACUCGACGCAGGACACAAUCAUUGCCUUGGAAGCUUCAUCAUGAUAUGACAUUGCAUUUCUGAAGAGGGAAGAAGAAAUCAACAUGCAAAUUCAAUUCCAUGGUUUUGGAAGUCCCAUUGAGAACACGAUUCAUGUGCGCUGGCAUAAUGCUCUGACCGAGAAAGAAUCGAAGCUUCCGCUUGGAAGAAAGAUUCACAUCAAGUUGACUGGUCAAGUAAAUGGGACACUGACUAACCAUACAAUUAGACUGUUUUGAUGAGGAACUUAAAGAUUACGAGUCCCGUCCGUUUGACUCAGAGUUUGGUACCAUAGGUUGGUACGAUCUUCGUUGGAGAAGGAAAAGGGAUGUUCCAGAUACAGAAAAUAGUCAAACCAUUUACUACAAAGUCCGUUUCUGGGUGGAGUUAGUGGAACCGAAAAAGAUGUCUCCCUCACAGCGUUUGUGACAAAAGAAUUGCAUUGUUCCUUGGCGGCCUUUCAACAGAAGAAUAUUCAGAGAUUUCA
Stegostoma tigrinum is the source of this 1527-nucleotide long non-coding RNA. RefSeq lists it as uncharacterized. The transcript has 11 exons. NCBI's taxonomy places the organism in Eukaryota, Metazoa, Chordata, Chondrichthyes, Orectolobiformes, Stegostomatidae. The record is from RefSeq and is a predicted model, not a curated record.